RNAcentral lists this transfer RNA (65 nucleotides) under Athyma daraxa. RNAcentral's name for it is "Sumalia daraxa tRNA-Phe". It matches the Rfam family "tRNA". From Rfam's summary of the family: Transfer RNA (tRNA) molecules are approximately 80 nucleotides in length. The record is from RNAcentral. Lineage: Eukaryota; Metazoa; Arthropoda; Insecta; Lepidoptera; Nymphalidae.
AUUUAAAUAGCUUAAUAAGAGCAUAAUAUUGAAGAUAUUAAGGUGAUUGUUUAAAUCUUUAAAUA